GAUCCCGUGAUUGGAGACUGGGGAGUCUGAGCUUUCAUCCCUGCCCACAGACCCUGGGGCUAGUAUAAAUUCCACUAUUCGGCGAGGGGUUGGCAAUUUGAGAAAGUUCCGCGCAGUUCAACACUGUGGUCGCCCCGCGCCUUUCGGCCUUUUCGGUGAAGCCGCUUCCGCGAAAAAACCACAUUGGAAUUUUCUGCCAAGAUGCUUCGAGUCACAUUGAUAUGCAGCGUCAUCUUCUUUCUGCUGGUCAGCACGAAGAUUCCUGUGGAUGCGAGAUACCUGCCCACCAGAAGCAUGGACGACCGCCUCAAUCGUCUCAGAGAAUUGCUCAGAGAUCUCUCUUUCGUCGAUAGAAAUGACAGACCUCACUCGGGAUCGAAUCCGGAGUUGGGACCCGAGACAGACGCCUCUAGUAGCCAGGUGGACCCCCUCUUCUACUCCUUCGAUUCGCAAAGACUCCCCUUACCACGACGAUUUACCGGGACUAGCACCAACUAAUGGUAUUCAUCUCAUUCGGGUCACCAGCACACCAACUUUAGACCUUCGUUGUUGCUCCUCAACCGCGUUGUCGACUUAUACAUGUCCAUGCCGUCUUUUUCAUGUUGUUUUUCCAUGUUGUAUUUUGCCCUGACCAUUGAAGUGUUGAAUCAUGACUGUUAAAUAUUGUAAAAAAAACCGACUUAUUUCCUCUCCGACUUACAAGAUUUUGGGGGAUGGAUCGAGUUCCAAAGGAAGAGACCUAGUAACUACCAGGGCACGUUUACAGCAGUGUCUAAUUGCAAAGGAAGAUCAAUGGUAGGUGAGUUGUUUCUGAAGUGAACCAAGAAAAUCAGUCUCUUCUUGCUAAACUCGGUUUAUGCAGGGCUCUCGAGAAAAAAUAAAAAAAUUUGUCUACCUUGAAGGAACUCUAAAUUUAGAGGUUGUAAAACAAUUUCCACCUAAAAUUUAGCUCUGUUCUUUUAUCCUCUCUAUCUUUGAUUGAUUGCAAAAUUUAAGUACUCUAAAAGUUCCAAAACGUAAGUGUGUAAGAACAAAAUUCCUUUAUGUUCAAUGUUAAGGCGGAAAUAUUGUUUUUAAAAAAAUGGAAACACUGCAUCACCAAUUAUGUUUUCUUUUUUAUUCAACUGAUUGUUAAUUGUGUAAAGAAAGAGCCUUCUCUUUGAAAUGUUACUAGUAAAAAACUAAGCAUACAGUUUCAUACGUAAAACUUGACUCUACGUCCUUUAGCCCACAAAAUAAUCGCAGUUUAUAACAGAAAAUUAUAAUCUCUAAUGGAAAGUUUAAAUCCGAACUCUCCAGUUCUUCCUUGAUGAGAUUAUCUUUCCAAAAUGGAAUUUUUUGUCAUUUUCGGAUCAAAAUUUCAAUAAAAUAGAAAAAUCCACGAGAGUCCAAGCUGCUUUUUGUUUCUCUUCUUCUGCCUCUACUUCUUACUUUUAUCUAAUUUCAUUUGAUCACUCGCAUCCGAUAAGUUUUCUUUUUAUUAUUAGAUUGCAAAUUCACGAUAGAAGUUAGCAGACCGGGAAAAAAUUGCAAUAGAGGAACUGGGUGCUGAAUUUGUCUUUGCUAUCGAUAAAACACUUUCUGUUUCCUUCGCAUAAUUCAUAACCCAUCCCUUACAGCUGCCCAUCCGCAUAGCGCAGACUACGUUAUUUUGCUGUAGAGGACCUGGUCCCUCCAUCACCUGGAGAGUCGGGGGAAGGGAAGGUAUUGAAUACCCUCAGCUCAAAGGGGGAUCCGGUAGGAAAUUUUAACUCUAUUUUGAUCCAUUUUUAAGCUUCCGUCACGCAAAUUUUCCAUUAGUUACUGCAAAAAAAUAUAUUAUUUUAAGUAUAUUUUCAGCUCAAAAUGUUUUCUAAUUUUUACAAGAGUUAUCGUUAACGAAGAUUUUAUUACUUCGAAUAAAAUUUGGGGGGAGGCAGAUUAUACUAUUUUCAGUACGGGGGGGGGGCACUGGGGCAGGCCCCCUUGAACCACCCUUGCUACGUUCUUGCUGAUUGUGUAAGUCCACGUGUAUGAAAGCAAUGCACGUGUAACCCUCUAUCCUACCACAUUUGGGAUUGUAACAAUGAAAAAUCAUUAAUAGCUGUCAUGCAUGUUAGAGUUUUUUUUUCUUUACUCAUGUACUCAUAGACGAUUCUGAGAUUUUUUUCUAUAUAUUUCUUGAUCACAGAUUCUUCCGUUAUUAUUCGAUCAUUAUUUUAUAUAUCACAAUUUCAUAAUACACCAUUGAUUACAUACUGUGAAUGAAUAGCUUAUAAAGCACACAUUUAUUUUCAGUUUCAAUUUUAUUUUAUAGCUAUCUAUAUUCAUGAUACACGUCCGGCACAUUUUAAUUGCUAGCUGUCACCGACAUUCUCCGCUAUCAUCAAAUUGUUGAUAAUUAUUUUAAAAUUAUUAUCUUUUAAAGUGACAAUCAGCUUCUCUCAAAAGGUUCAUGAAUAUUCCCUCCAUCUGAAAUUAUCAACAUAAAACCACUGGACCGGCCGCACAAAACUUAAUACCAAAAAGAGAACUGUACUUGUACCUUUUUUUCAUUUUAAACAAAAGGCAAAAAUGUUGCGUUAGGGUGGAACUUAUUCUUUGCGGAAUGUAUGUACAUUUAAGAAAAAAGACAUAAUAUAAGAUAUACAUGUAUAAUGUCGUAUAAUUGCUUAUUUAGUUCCUCUGACCUUAACUGCAAGGAAAACUGUAAUUUAUAAAGUUUGUCUGAUUGGAGCAACAAUUUUCCUUUUUCAUCGCAUGUUUUUUUCUAAAGCUAUUUUUUUAUAUUUGUACCAUACUUGUUUGAAAGCUGUUGUCAAGCUCUUAAAAACACUUCUCAGAUAUUUGACGAUAAAAUGUUUCAAUAAAAACAGUUCUCCUCGAUUUCAUUAGUGCUUUAUUUUUUUGCAGCAAAAAUAACUCCCAGCUUAAUGAAACCGUUAUAGCGGUCAGUAGAGUUGGCUAUUAAAUUGUAUUACGGACAAAAA
Molecule: long non-coding RNA, 2969 nt
Filed under: Bemisia tabaci
Lineage: Eukaryota; Metazoa; Arthropoda; Insecta; Hemiptera; Aleyrodidae
Description: lncRNA ENSSSA2NGG003357
Source: RNAcentral